UUCUCUCUGCCGUGUCCGUUAGGUUUUAACGCCCCUGCGGAAUAAUCAUUGAACGGGAGCCUGUUUCGACCGUGGUGUGCUGCCCCAUUGCGCGGGAAUUGCCUGAAGCGGUCCACGGGACCUCCCACCUGUUAGGGAACUCGCUGUGAGGCCCCCCAACCAACGACAGGGCGGAGAGACU
Molecule: non-coding RNA, 181 nt
Filed under: Geomesophilobacter sediminis
Lineage: Bacteria; Pseudomonadati; Thermodesulfobacteriota; Desulfuromonadia; Geobacterales; Geobacteraceae
Description: 6S / SsrS RNA
Rfam family: 6S / SsrS RNA
About the family: E. coli 6S RNA was the first non coding RNA to be sequenced, but its function was unknown until recently. It consists of 184 nucleotides that fold into an extended hairpin structure with a large single-stranded internal bulge.
Source: Rfam by way of RNAcentral